AUACGGAGGAUCCGAGCGUUAUCCGGAUUUAUUGGGUUUAAAGGGUGCGUAGGCGGGAUAAUAAGUCAGUGGUGAAAGUUUGCAGCCUAACUGUAAAAUUGCCGUUGAAACUGUUAUUCUUGAGAGUAGAUAAGGUAGGCGGAAUGUGUUGUGUAGCGGUGAAAUGCAUAGAUAUAACACAGAACCCCGAUUGCGAAGGCAGCUUACCGGGCUACAUCUGACGCUGAUGCACGAAAGCGUGGGGAUCAAACAGGAUUAGAUACCCUGGUAGUCCACGCAGUAAACGAUGAAUACUAGCUGUAUGCGAUAUAUUGUAUGUGGCAAAGCGAAUGCAUUAAGUAUUCCACCUGGGGAGUACGUUCGCAAGAAUGAAACUCAAAUGAAUUGGCGGGG
This 393-nucleotide ribosomal RNA is filed under the name uncultured bacterium. RNAcentral describes it as "partial 16S ribosomal RNA". It matches the Rfam family "Bacterial small subunit ribosomal RNA", at positions 523 to 918 of the family's 1533-position model. The record is from RNAcentral.